GGCACUGACUGGCUCAGUUGGUAGAGCAGAUGCACCAUGUGCAGAGGCUAUAGUCCUCGACGUGGUUGUCUUGGGUUUGAUUCCCGAUUAGGUCA
This is a non-coding RNA of Ataeniobius toweri, 95 nucleotides long. Lineage: Eukaryota; Metazoa; Chordata; Actinopteri; Cyprinodontiformes; Goodeidae. The record is from the annotation of a GenBank genome assembly.